UGUAGGCUGAAACUCGCCUACAUGAAGCUGGAAUUGCUAGUAAUCACAGGUCAGCAUACUGUGGUGAAUACGUUCCCGGGCCUUGUACACACCGCCCGUCACACCAUGAGAGUUGAGAAUACCCGAAGUCGGUGAGGUAACCUAUUAGGAGCCAGCCGCCUAAGGUGGGAUAGAUGAUUGGGGUGAAGUCGUAACAAGGUAUC
Molecule: ribosomal RNA, 203 nt
Filed under: uncultured bacterium
Lineage: Bacteria
Description: partial 16S ribosomal RNA
Rfam family: Bacterial small subunit ribosomal RNA
Source: RNAcentral